GAUGAACGCUAGCGGGAGGCCUAACACAUGCAAGCCGAGCGGUAUUGUUUCUUCGGAAAUGGGAGAGCGGCGUACGGGUGCGUAACACGUGUGCAACCUGCCUUUAUCUGGGGGAUAGCCUUUCGAAAGGAAGAUUAAUACUCCAUAAUAUAUUGAACGGCAUCGUUUAAUAUUGAAAGCUCCGGCGGAUAGAGAUGGGCACGCGCAAGAUUAGCUAGUUGGUGAGGUAACGGCUCACCAAGGCGAUGAUCUUUAGGGGGCCUGAGAGGGUGAUCCCCCACACUGGUACUGAGACACGGACCAGACUCCUACGGGAGGCAGCAGUGAGGAAUAUUGGUCAAUGGGUGCAAGCCUGAACCAGCCAUCCCGCGUGAAGGACGACUGCCCUAUGGGUUGUAAACUUCUUUUGUAUAGGGAUAAACCUACCCUCGUGAGGGUAGCUGAAGGUACUAUACGAAUAAGCACCGGCUAACUCCGUG
RNAcentral lists this ribosomal RNA (479 nucleotides) under uncultured bacterium. Its description in RNAcentral is "partial 16S ribosomal RNA". It matches the Rfam family "Bacterial small subunit ribosomal RNA", at positions 28 to 507 of the family's 1533-position model. The record is from RNAcentral.